UAUUUUUGUGUAUGGUGUGAGGGAGUGUUCUAACUUCAUUGAUUUACAUGUAGCCGUUCACCUUUCCCAACACCACUUACUGAAGAGAUGGUCUUUUCUCCAUUGUAUAUUCUGGCCUCCUGUGUCAAAGAUUAAUUGACCAAAAGUUUGUGGAA
Molecule: non-coding RNA, 155 nt
Organism: Vicugna pacos (alpaca)
Lineage: Eukaryota; Metazoa; Chordata; Mammalia; Artiodactyla; Camelidae
Source: RefSeq, a predicted model, not a curated record